RNAcentral lists this ribosomal RNA (468 nucleotides) under uncultured bacterium. RNAcentral's name for it is "partial 16S ribosomal RNA". It matches the Rfam family "Bacterial small subunit ribosomal RNA", at positions 28 to 507 of the family's 1533-position model. The record is from RNAcentral.
GACGAACGCUGGCGGCGUGCUUAACACAUGCAAGUCGAACGGAAAGGCCCUGCUUUGGUGGUGUUCUCGAGUGGCGAACGGGUGAGUAACACGUGAGUAACCUGCCCUUGACUGUGGGAUGACUUCAGGAAACUGGGGCUAAUACCGGAUAGGAGCUCCUGCGGAAGGGGGGGGGUUGGAGAGUUUCGGCGGUUGGGGCUGGACUCGCGGCUUAUCAGCUUGUUGGUGGGGUAGUGGCUUACAAAGGCUUUGAAGGGUAGCCGGCCUGAGAGGGUGAACGGGCACAUUGGGACUGAGAUACGGCCCAGACUCCUACGGGAGGCAGCAGUGGGGAAUAUUGCACAAUGGGCGGAAGCCUGAUGCAGCGACGCCGCGUGCGGGAUGACGGCCUUCGGGUUGUAAACCGCUUUCGCCUGUGACGAAGCGUGAGUGACGGUAACGGGUAAAGAAGCACCGGCUAACUACGUG